This 243-nucleotide ribosomal RNA is filed under the name uncultured Alphaproteobacteria bacterium. Its description in RNAcentral is "partial 16S ribosomal RNA". It matches the Rfam family "Bacterial small subunit ribosomal RNA", at positions 1133 to 1397 of the family's 1533-position model. The record is from RNAcentral. Lineage: Bacteria; Pseudomonadati; Pseudomonadota; Alphaproteobacteria.
GGGCACUCUAAAAAAACUGCCCGUGAUGAGCGGGAGGAAGGUGUGGAUGACGUCAAGUCCUCAUGGCCCUUACGGGUUGGGCUACACACGUGCUACAAUGGCAGUGACAAUGGGUUAAUCCCAAAAAGCUGUCUCAGUUCGGAUUGGGGUCUGCAACUCGACCCCAUGAAGUCGGAAUCGCUAGUAAUCGCGUAACAGCAUGACGCGGUGAAUACGUUCCCGGGCCUUGUACACACCGCCCGU